CACUGUACUCUCUGCUGCUGAGGCUAGAUACCAGAUUGGCUCAGGUUUGGCUCCGCUACAUUGCAGUCAUUGUAACCUAGUCAUCCCCACUGCCUAAGGUUCUGAGUCUCUGGCUGGUAGAAAGCAUACUGCUAUCAGUCAUCUCUGAAGAUGAAGGGCUAUGGCAAAUGCCAUUCUAUAUUGGACCCAAAGCCCACCCAGUCGAGUAUCUUGCCUCAUACAAUGGUCAACUCAAGAUGGUUCGAAGGAAGAAUCGGGAAACCCUGCAGCAGAUUUCUCCAUGGAUUGGAUGGUGCAGGAAAUGGAAAACCCAGAUCCCUGGUCAUACCCGGGACCUUCUGCCAUCGUUUGCACCAAUGCAGAGCUACAGCAAGUCAGACUGACUUGUCUCUUGGAUGCUGAAAUGCUGUUGGCUGGUUUUCUUCCCAAAAGUGAUAGAAUAGGUUACACUUGUUGUGUAAGGGGAAAUCAUAAUGCUGGCCACCACUGUUUCCACAUUUUUUUGUUAGUAGACUACACCACAAAGGGAAAAUAUAAACACAUCAUUUGUUUCACUUUGAGGGUGUGUCUGUGCUUUAUAUUCACAACCUGCUUCACCCCACAAUAACUUGCAAGUGCAGUAGCUGCUUUGCAGAUGCUCCCAUUUUCAUUCCAGAAUAAGCUUGGUUUUUUUCUGUCUUAGCUUUAUCUACAAAGGCACGUUUAGUCUGCACUUAGUGUCCACAUAGGAAACUCUUGUAAAAUGUCUAUUUUGAUAAAUUUCCCCAGGUAAGCUAACCCUAAUGCCCAUAAUCCUGGGAAGCCUACCAGUGCAAGAGUACCUUCUGUAAGUGAUCAUUUCUUUAAUGAGGGGAAAGGGACUAGAGACAUUUGUAAUAAUCCUGACUUGCAAAAUAACACUGGAUCAAGUUGCUAUAUAAAUCUAGAUUUUUUUUCUGUACUAUAUCUCAGACUGUCAUUAUGAAUCUUUAUGGAGACCACAAAAUUAGGACAACAGAAGCUGGAAAAUCUCAUUUACAUCAUAACUUGUGGCAGAGGUG
Molecule: long non-coding RNA, 1040 nt
Filed under: Crocodylus porosus (Australian saltwater crocodile)
Lineage: Eukaryota; Metazoa; Chordata; Crocodylia; Crocodylidae
Description: lncRNA (ENSCPRG00005008590.1)
Source: RNAcentral